GAGAGUCCCCAUGGCCCCAGCAGCAAGCCCCUGCCUCUCUCCUGUCCGGCUGCUGCCCCACUCUGAGGCCCAGGUUCUCUUCUCCCAAGAGCGAGUGCGUUGGUCUAAUUGGCAAAACAUUUGAAGAGCUCCUGCACUCACAGAGUGAAACCCCAGGAAACGGAGCCCGCGAGGGAUGCCAAGCUCUCCUAAUAACAACACCUUUGUUUAUUGUGGGAUGUGGGCUGCUGUUGUGAUGCAGGAUCCAGACCUCGAGUAACCCUGUGCGAUGGCAGGCCUUCACCCUGGGACUGGCCAAGGGCCCUAGCCCCUUCAUCAGAGGUCACCCAUGACUCUCCCGCCCUCAUCCGUUUCUGCACAUUCCUCGCCAUGCCCAUCUCCCUCCUGCCCAUCCCGGAGCCCACCGGACUGCACAGCCAGCAUCAGCACAGCCUGUCCUGCUGAGUGGGGCUGCCUGCAGUCCAUGGCACGAGAUAGAGGCAGAACCUGGAGGCAGGCCGAGGUCGCCGCUACUCCUGGCCACUUCCAGACCACCCUGCCACCAUCCUCCCUUCAGUCCACGGUCCAGACUUCCUGGAAGGCACCUUGCAGCCUUCGUUUGCCGAAUUGUGAGAUGCGUUUGCUCACCGGCCUCCUCCCGCUGAGCGUCCCUGGUGUCUGACCCACCUCUGUUUCCUUCUGUAUGCACAGGUGUUUGUUGCAUGACUGAACGACAUUGAGGAGGGGACACGGCUCAGUAGAAACUUCCUUUAAGAUGCAUACAAGCUGCGGCAAAGCAAAGUGUGUUUACAAGGAGUUCCUGUGUGGGCUGGGCAGGGGCAUCAGCUGCUCUUACUGGGGGAGGAUGGUAGUGAUGCAAACACAAGAGGUAGGGUUGGCAGCCGCACCCCUUGCAACUAUCAGGGCAGCCUUGGGGCUUUCACAGGCGUGGUGAGGACCUGUCCUUGCGUGUUUCCCUCUUACCAUGUUACCAUGGAAACACACCAUGCAUGGACCUUACCCUGCGGAUAUGCCCCCUACGUGGCAAAAGGGAUGUGCGGAUGUGAAGGACCAGGAGAUGUGUGACAAUCCUGGGGGACCCAGGUGGGUCCUAAAUGUCACUUCAAGGGUCCUUUUAAGAGGAAGGCAGGUGGCCAGGCUUAUGCCUAUAAUCCCAGCACUUUGGGAGACCGAGGUGAGAGGGUCACUUGAGGCCAAGGCCAGCCUGGGCAAAAUAGCAAGACCUCGUCUCUACAGAAAAAAAUUAAAAAUUAGCCGGGCAUAGUGGCGUGCCCCUGUAGUCUCAGCUACCCGGGAGGCUGAAGCAGGAGGAUCACCUGAGCCCAGGAGAUGGGGGCUGCAGUGAAGCAUGAUGGCACCACUGCACUCCAGCCCUGCAUUCAAGCGCGGGUGACAAAGCGAGACCCAAUCUCAAAAAAGAAAAAGAGAGGGAGGCAGGAGACAGGUGUGAGGAGGGGAAGGGCUGCGAGACAGAGGCUUCGAGGAAAGCAGAAGGUCUCCAGAAGCCUGCAGAGGCCAGGAGGGAGCCUCCCAUGGGGCCUCUGGGAGGAGCCUGCUCUGCCGACGCCUAGAUGGAGCCCCUAACUCUCCUUCUGGAUUUCUGACUCUGGAGCUGUGAGAAACGAACUUCUGUUGGUUGAAGUCACGGGUUGGUGGUUAGUUAUUACAACAGAAACAGGAAACCGGUAUGUCGGGUCGCUCCCAGCCUCAAGCCCCAGCUCUAUUUUCCCAUAAAAGCUAAGUUCUCACCAUGAGGUGCUCUAGCUGCCAGGGUGGAGGAGGGGGUGUCACCCCACACUGAUUUGUGGGCCCAGGGGUGAGGACACCUCACCUGCCACCCAGAACCGGGCCCACAUCUCCCGGCGAGGCCUCCGUGGCUGCAUUGCCGGCAAUGACUAGGUGUUUUAUGCUGAACGUUGAAGAUAUUUUCCACUGGAGAUUUAACACGGAACAUCAAGAACCAUUGAAAUCACUCAUAUCAAUUGAAGAUACAAUAAUUGAACCCCAUAAAGAUUACUGAGAAGCUGGUGGAGCUAUAAGGAGAGGCAUAAAUAGAGAUAAAUUGGGCCCCCUCCACCCCCCCAGCCUCCCCCUGGAAGGAGCUCAUUAGAGAUGCUCACGGGGCCACUCAGUGACAGAGACCCACAGCAGGGAGAGGGGGGCCGGGGGGUUCCCACCACAGAGGGGCCUGAGCAGAUCCAGAAGCUUCUGUGCAUCCGUUAAUGGUCUUGAUCGGGUCCUUGGUGAAAGCGUGGAGCGAAGGGACCCAGGGGAUGACAGCUCUGUUCUCCAGCGGCCUAGGCAUCUCCUUUCCUCUAAGGGCCGCACCCCGAGCCCUGAUCUGGGCCGCACACGGAGCCCCGAUCAUAGCCAUACACUGAGUCCUAACCCAGGUCAUAAUCCAAGCCUCAUCCUAGGCAAAGUCUAAGCCAUGAUUCUGGCCCCAAACUGAGCCCUGCUCUGGUCACAGUCUGAGCUCUGACCAAGGUCACAUACUGAAGGCGGACUGUGACUGGAGGCUGAGUCCUGAGCCCUGGUGUCUCAUCUCAGGCGGGUCCAAGCUCCAGGACUGUGGGUGCUCCCAGAUGUCCACCACAUCCGCUCACGCUGCCCUCUCUCUGAGCUUCUCACAGGCCGGGCCCUGGCUGGGCUCUGCAUAUGGAAAGAAAGGCCCCCUGUCCUCAGGGCAUUUGACUCCCCGCAGGGAGGCAACACCUGAACAGUGAUAUCAGCCAAGUACUGUGGAUGACGGGAGUCCCCAGCCCGGCUCUCCCUGCCCUCCCAUGCCCAGGCCUCCAGCUCUGACCCUGAGAGCCCUCCAGCCGCCGUCUCCGCCCUCUGCCAGGCAGAUCAGAGCACUGCUCCCACCUCUGAGCGGGGCCCCUGUCCUGGUCUGCUGUGUGUAGAGGCUGAGGUCGAACAGGCUGAGCACCGGGGGCCUGGGGUGCACUCCCUGAGUGGCAGGGCAGGGCCCCCUCCAUGGGGCCUCACUCCUGCUUGUCAUGGUUCAGAAGAGCUGAACGGGGAAGCAAAAGGCACAAAGUCAGCCUGUCUGGCUUUGCAAUCUUGGCCUCCCCUCGGCUGCAUGGCACAGAGAGGUUUCUUGCCAUCUCAGAGCUUGGCCUGCCUAGCUGCAAGGGGAUGAUGACGGCAUCUGACUCCUGGGCUGUGAGUGUCAUCGGAGGGGACCCAGGCAAUCACUGACAAGUUCCCGGGGCAUGAAGCCCUCAUGAAAGGGAACACAACCAUGAUCAGGUCCUAGGAGCGCCACACUGCCCUGGACUCCAGACCCGUGAUCCUCCCAUGCUGCCCCCAGGGUCUCUCAAGGGCCCACAGCCUCCCUGCCCUGCUCUGUGCCCCCUUCCUGGGCCCUCCCGCCUGUGGACCCUUCUCCGUGCUGUUCCCUCCUCCUCUCCCAGAUCAACUCUCUAUUUCCCGGCUCCCUGGGCACAGGUGUGAGGCUAGCAGCUGUGACUGUGCAGGGUGAACGGCUGAUGCCCCAGCCACCCUCCCAGGCUCGUAAAUCUGCCCUAUUUCCCUCAAGCCGAUACUCAGCCAGGCCGCCUGCACAAUCCAAUAUAUUUCAGUUACAAGCUGGUCUAUUACCUGAUUCAUAACCGAUCUGUCAACCUGAGAAAUCAAUGCAUCCGUGGGAUGCCACAUACAUAACACCUGGUGCAUAAUUGAAUUCAGGCUCCCUGGCAUCUCAGUGCAUGGCAGGUGCUGCUGGGAACCUCAGCCCCCUCCCCUGGGACAGGGGUAGGGGCAGGGAGAACGUGCCUCCUGGCUGCGGCACCGGGGUGCAGCUCCGGAAGGACGUCUGCAGUUCUAGGCGUGGCUGGGUGAUUCGGAUCCUGGGCAUCCUUGCCAUUCUGUCUCAACUCUAUUUGAAGAGACCUCAGAGCCUUUUCACCCAGCCUCCCACACCUGAGCAGUGGGCCCCCUCUCUGCCUGCACACUCACUGCCUCUGAGCGGCCCAGCCCCCACUCUCUGCCUGCACACUCACUGCCUCUGAGCGGCCCAGCCCCCACUCUCUGCCUGCACACUCACUGCCUCUGAGCGGCCCAGCCCAUUGCAGACAGUACAGACCCACAGAGCCAAAAGUGCUGCAUUUACCAGGCCCCUCCCUAAGAUAUCAAAAUGCCAGCUACUCAGAACCUUCGGGGGAAGGUAUUAUUGGCUCAUUGUAUAAAUGAGGAGUCUGAAGUCAAGGAAACGACCUUCCUAAGUUUGAACCACCAAGCUUGAUUUGAAACCAGAGUCAGAACCCAGACCCACGACCUCUCGUGCAUCUGAGAUGAAGCCCAAGGGGCUGCUCCAGGGUGGUCAGCAGGGGCGGGGCCAGGGUGGUCAGCAGGGGCGGGGCCAGGGGCGGGGACUCCACAAACAGGAGCUUUCGGGGUCUACAGGGUCUGCAUGUGCAGGGGGCGCUGUCUCCCUCUGGUUGGUGUAUUUGUGGGGCAGAAACUCAAGUGAUUGGGCAAGACCCUGCCCGUGUCCAGCUGCCACGUGGCCUUGGGAGGUCUCCUGUCCCCUCCAGUCCACAAGGUCAUCUGAGCUCCUGGUUCCUGUGGCUGGACAUCCUCGCUGACCUCACCUCUGGCGGAUUCAGAGAGGCCAGGAGGUGCAGGCUGGGUGCCCUUGGCAGCCAAACCUUUCUGGAAGCCCAGGGCUGACUUCAGCUGGGUGCCCUUGGCACCUGGACCUUCUAGAAGCCUGGGGGCUGACUCCAGCUGGGUGCCCUCGGCACCUGGACCUUUCUGGAAGCCUGGGGGCUGACUCCGGCACCAGACACAGCUGGGGCUCCCCUCCCUCAUCCCGCCUCGCACCCUGUCAUUGAUUCUCCUUUUCAUGAUCGUGGCACCCACGAUGGAAAUGGCAUCUCAGCUCCUGCAAGGAUCUAUACCCCAAAAUAGCAAAAUAAUUCCCAUGGUGCGAGAAUGCUUCAGACAGAGGCAUGCGGGCUGGGGUUAUUGGGGCCAUGUUUCCACAUGCACCUAAUGUAUGGACACAUCUAUUCCUGGGGCCGCCAAAUCAAUCCAUGUGGAAGCCUGGGGAGCUGUGCGUCUCCCAUGUGUCAGAGCGUGGAGGGAGCGCCGGGGGUGGGGGGCAGGGGCAGAGGCCCAGAUGCUGGGUCCACCAUGGAGGCUGCCAGGUGCUGAGGGGGGUCAUUAAAUACACCCCCCACACCCCUCACUUGUGUGAAGGUCAGAGGACAAAGGACGGACAAAGGCAUCUGGUCACCUCUAAAGGGCCACACAGAUGCCUCUCACCCUCACCCCACAUCACAAAUGAGAAACUGAGGCCCGGUCAGGAAGGCAUCAGGUGGACAGGGGCCAGGACCCCAUUGCUUCAGGCUCUGUGAGUGGCUCCCUCGUGCCAACACAUGCACACAUAUGCACACACAGAGACACACAUGGACACACACACGUGCACAGACAUAUGCACACACACACAAACACGCAUAUACACAGACAUAUGGAGACACAUGGACACACACACGUGAACACACAUGCACACACACAAACACGCAUAUACACAGACACACACGGAGACACAUGGACACACACACAGGCACAUAUGUGCACAGAGACACACAUGGACACACAGGUACACACAGACACCACAAUGCAGAUAUAUGCACAUGCGCAAGGAACACGUGCAUGCACACAUACACAUGCUCACACACAUAUGCACACACAUGCACACACAUGCUCACACAUGCUCACAUACAUAUGCACACACACAUGCUCACAUACAUAUACACACACACAUGCUCACACCGAAGCAAGACACACACAAACACACACAGGCACUUACACACCGGGAAGCACUUCUCAGGGGGUUGUGGCAUCUCUGCCUCUGGUGGCCUCUCCUGCAGGGGUCUCCACUUGGUGGUGUUGGGGGCCCCACCUGAGCCCUGGCGAGACCUCGCCUCCCCUCUCCCGGCUACAGGACAUGCCAGGGCAGGGUGUGGCUUGUUCACCGAAGCAAGCCCCAGGGUGGAUGCAGGGCUCAGGGAAGCCUCUCCCAAGGGAGCACAGGCAAGCGCCCUCAGUGGGGCACAGCUGGAGCAGCGCCUCCAUGGCCACAUGGCUCUGGGGUGAAGCCCGGCUCUUGGGCUGAAGGCCCCUGGUACCUGAGGGCCUCCCAUAUUCCCAUCUGGAAAGUGGGGUUGGCAAUGAUGCCCAUCUGCACAGCCAAGCCAGUCCAACACCUGGUGCCAAGCUGGCACCAGGCACACGGGCACACAGACCCCAGAGUGGACGGUGGGAUGUGAGGGGAAGGGGGAAGGACAGGUGACAGCAGAGGCAGGCUCUGAGCCAGAGUCAUGCAGGACGCACUGCCCAGCACUCCUUUCCCCGAGCCCUAAACAGACUCACAGAAGGUCUCAGCCAAAGGGGCUCUAGAGACCGGGGGGCCCAUCUCACAGAUGGGGAAACCAAGGCCCAGGGAGAAGAGGUUCAUUCAGGAAUACGCAGCAGAUCACAGACCCUCAGAACUCGACGGGCCUCCAGGCUGCUCCCUGCCAGAUGGGAACUCGCAGAGCAGCCACGAGACAGCGGAAGGGGCAGGGGCAGGGGCAGGGGCAGGGUCUGCCGUCUUCCUCUGGGACUCGCCCCAUCUUGAGCCGAACAGAUGAAACCGUUGACAGUGAAGCCUCGCCUGGGAGGACUUCAGCUCACAGCACGUGGGCCGGCCUGAAAGGGAGGACCCAGGGAAGGGGUGCUGGGAGGGCUGGGGACCCGGCAGCUCCUGGCCGGCAUCCUCUAUGAACUGCAGCAAUUCAUUAUCCUUCCUCCAGCUGAUGAGGAUGAUCAGGAGGACAAUUAGUCUUGGAAUUACCGCGGAGGAGACCGUUAAGAGAAAAAUAAAUUAAAAAGAAAUCCAUUCGAGGUGUAAUUGUAAUACAGUGUAUCAUAGUCAAUUGAAUCACAAAUACAAGCUGGUCCCUUGUCGAUUGAUUUCAGCAAGUAAACAAUUUGGGUAUCUAAAUUGGAAACUCGCCGGGAAAAGGAGCAAUGAUUUGGUUAAAGGGAGAACUGAAAACGUCAGGCCAAAAAUUGGUUCUAGGUGUCUGGCUGCUACAGGACUGUGCAGGUGACCCUAGAUGGGAGGGAGGUCACCAGCUCCUCCCUGCCUGCAGGUCAAGGUCACCCCAUCUGGAAGCUACCUAGACCCCAGCAAUGUUACCUGACCUGUGACACCUUUGUUCCUGUGUCCUCCUCUGUGCCGCCCAUGGUGAAUGUGGCUUCUCUGUCUACAUGGAUGCACUCCCACCACACUGGGAGCUUCUGGGGCACAGGAGUCCUGCUUUACUUCCUAUGUUGAGCCCAGGGACUGCCCAAGAUAAUGCCCAGUGCAGGAAUGUUUCCACCAGGGGUCACAGGAAUGGCUCUGCUGCCCUGGGGGCUGAGUUGGCCACCUGUCUGGUGCCACCAAGUUAACAAGCAAAGCAGCAUGAAGGCAGUGGCUGGGGAAUCAACCCUGAUUAUCAAGGAUAGGAGGCCUGAAGAACCACAUGAAGAGAGUGCCCACAACCCAGAGGAUCUCCUGGAUACAGCUGUGUUACCAUGAUGUCCAGUGGAAGACACCACAACCCCAUUCAGGAGGGACCUCCAAGCCUGAAAGCCUCAGAGUGAUGGUUUGACUCACACCACCAGUAAAAUAACUUCCAACAAGCUGAGCAAGAAGAAAAGGGGAAUUGUGGCAAAUUGCAUUUUCCGAAAAUGGUCACCUUACCACUAUUCCAUCAAGAGGUGGUGCUAUGGUUUGAAUGUGUCCCCCAAAGUUCAUGCGCUGAAAACUUUACGUAAACACAAAUGCAAUAGUGUUGAAUGGUGGGACCUUUCAACACUAUCGCAAGGGUGAUUAGGUGCUGAUGGCUCUGCCCUCAUGAAUGGAUUGUCAUUGUUGAGGGAGUGGGUUCCUGAUGAGAGAAUGGGUACAGCCUUUCCCUCUUUCUCACAUGUGCUCUUGUCCUUCUGCCAUAAGAUCAUGGAGCAAGAAGGCUCUUGAAAGAUGCCGGUCCCUGGACCUUGGACUUCCCAGCCUCCAGAACUGUAAGAAAUAAAUCUCUGUUCGAUAUGAAGUAUUCAGUCUUGGGUAUUUGGUUAUAGUAGCACAAGCAGACUAAGACAAGCAGAGUCUCCUUCCCCUCCUCUGGAACCUAGGGAGCUUGUGACUGCUCCAACCAAGAGAAUGUGAUGGAGGUGAUGCCAUGUGACUUCUGAGGAGAAGUCAUAAAAAGGAUGCAGUUUCUGCCUGGCUCACUCUCUUGAAAUGCUCCCCCAGGAGCCAGCUGCCAUCUUGUAAGGAAGCCCAAUCCACAUGGAGAGGAAAAGUGUGGGUGUUGGAUCCUCAGCCCCAGCUUAGGUCCCAGCAGACAGCCAGCAUCAACCAGGAAGCAUGUGACUGAGUGAGGCUUCAGGUGAUUCCAGCCCCAAGCCUUUGAGCCAAACCUGGGGGGCAGGAGGCUGGCAGGGUGAGUAAGACUAGGGAUAUGUAGGGCCAAAGGGAAGAGAGGACCCAUGUUCCUGCCCUGGUCCAGGCCCUGCAUUUUCAUUUUGCACUGGGACCCCCAAAUCCUGUGGCUGCUGCUGAGCGGAAGGGACUUCUCCAGUGAGCUCCCUCGGCAGAUCCAUGGCUCAGAGCUCAAGGGGCCCAGCAGUGUCCUGGGGCCCUAAGGCCAGCAGCCGGGAAGUUCCUGGGCAGUGGGUUCCCCAAGGCACGGUCCCCACAGCUCCCACAUGAGGAGGGUGCCAGGUCCAACCCUCCCACAGCAGCCUGAGCCUCCACGCCCUGCAAGCUUGUCCAUGUCACCCUCCCGGGCAGGAUUUGAGGCAGAGGUGUGUGAUCCAUGCUGUCUCCAUCGUACCAGAGACAGCCAGCAAGGAGGGCAGGAGAGAGAGGGCCACAGACUCCUGAGCCCUGGCCUGGCACAUGAUACCCACUGGACAGACACCUCUGGUCCACUGACUAUGCACCAACGUCAUGUUCUUUCCAUCACCUAUCAGGGGAACUUUCCCCAGAAGUUCAACAAUUCUGACCUUUGGGUUCCCAUAAAUUGUGUCCAGCCUGGGAACCAGAAGACCCAUUUUCAUUCGAGCUCUGCCAUGGAGGUGCUGUACGACUUUGGGGAAGCCCAGUCUCUCUCUGGGCCUUGGCCUCUCAAGAAGGAGGGGGCUAGUGAAGGUGCACAGACGCCCUCCCUCAGUGGCCUGCUGCCUCCCGAGGUGCUACCGUGGCACUGCCCUCCCGUCCACCCCUUCUCCUAUCCUGUCCUGUCCUGGCACCAGAUGGACACCUGCCAGGUGGGCCUGUCUGGCUGCGGCUGCUUGGCUGGGACAGCGGGCAGGGCUCUCAGCCUCCUGCUGCUCCAGACAGGGGACCUGAAGGUGACUGUGACCCUUCAGUCCUGAGUGGGGAGGCCGCGUCUGGCCAGGUGGUAGCAGCUGCUGCCAAGGCAGCACUGUCCUGGCUUCCCCUCCUGCUGGCUCUCAGACUGAACUCCUCACCCCAGAACACCUGCUCCCACCCAGGGCCCACCCCGGGGAAGUGCUGACGGGGCAGGGGCUCAGGGCAGCCAGUCACAGGGCUGCAUUCCACAGUGGGCUGACCUCCCACAUAGCCUCCAAGGUCACGCAGCUCACAGAGAGCGAAGGCAGAGCCCCCAGCCUGGUCCUCCCUCCCUGGCAGCCUGGCUCAGGCAUCUCCCUGCAGGCAAGCCCCUCCUCUCCCGGCUCCAUUUCCUCAUCUGUAAACUGUGCACGUGACCCCGGCCCACGGGCUGUCUCCCAGCUGCGUAGGAGACAAUUGGGUGGUGAGCACCUGGCCCCUCCACCAUCAAUUCUCGGCCUGCCCUGCCCCCAGAGCCUCCUCCCUCAGCCUCAUCAUGAGCCUCCCAGCAAAUGCGGCCUGCCUGGACUGAGUCUGGGCUCCUCAGCCUCUGGAGCCCUCACACCUGCAGCCAGGAGGUGCCAAAUCCAAUUUGCUCCCUGACACCUCCUCGGACAUCCUGGGGCCCGCCUGCUGCAGCAGCAAAUCUGAGAAGGUGGCAGCAGCUCGGGGGCGGACCGUCUGCCCAGCUCCCCUACCUAUCACUGAGCCCAGCAGUGCUGCCUCAGUGGUGUGUUUCUCAGGCCCCUGGGAAGAAAAUUGUUGAGAAAUAGCUUCACAGAAUCUCUAAAACCCUGAAGCACCAUGUGUGGUGCUGGCUUUGUGGGGGUUUCAGGCCUUGGCGGAGGGCGUGGGGCAGGGAGAGGCUGGGGCCAUCUCCUCCCUCUGCCUGAGCAGGAACCAGCAUCUGCAGACCUAGCUGGAUGCGCGUGGAAGGGGGCGCACUGUCUCCUGGGGGGGUCACAGACUCUGCCUGCCCUGCAGGGUCUGUUGUGGGCCCCCACCCUCAGUCCUUGGCUGAGGAGGGUGCUAGGGACGCCUCAGUGCUGGCCGCUGUGCUGACGCAGCCUGGGGCAGCUGGUGAGACGCUUUGCCCUCAGUGCACUGCCCACCUGGUGCCCUCUGUGCCACGGUGGGCGGAGCAGCCACUCUGCAUGGACCCUCCUGUUCUUGGGGGUCCUACUCCCUACUCCUGGGGGAACAGGUGCAGAGAAGAGGAGCCUGGGAUUGCCAUAGAGCAGGCUGUACCCUGCCAGGGACCCCCUUCAUGCCCCCAACGUGGAGCUGGGUGGCAAGCAGCAGAGAGGCCACAGCCUGGGAGCAGCCAGGGCCAAAGCCAGCCCUUUGCUUUCGGAGUGGGAAGCUGAGGUCUCAGGAGGGGCAAGGGCUUGUCCUAGGCCCUCAGGGAGGAAGACAAACGACCUCCGCCCAUCAAGGGCUCAGUGUGGCAUUCCAGGCCACUCAGGCAGCCUCCUCCUCGGGGAAGCCCCUCUUGGUGGGGGCUGGGACAGCCCCAGGCAAGGAGCAGUGCCCUGGCUCCACGCAGCACCAAGCCAGCUUCCCACCCCUCCACCACAGCAAAGCCCCCAGCAUGCCCCUCCCCAGCUGUGAGCACAGGUUCAUGUUCAUACACAAGCUCACACACAGCCACACUCACUCCCCAGCAAGCCCCAGCCUGCCGCCUGCAGUCCUGUUGGCCUCCAUUCCCAUCCACAUCCCACCCAGGCUUCAUCUCAGGGGUCCCUGACAGGUGAAGACAGGCACGUGGCUGGAUAAGCCACAGCGGUUUAUUCGGGUGCUCAGCUGGGGCCGACACAGGGGCGAGU
RNAcentral lists this long non-coding RNA (11226 nucleotides) under Homo sapiens (human). RNAcentral's name for it is "non-protein coding LINC00051:8". The record is from RNAcentral. Lineage: Eukaryota; Metazoa; Chordata; Mammalia; Primates; Hominidae.